This is a non-coding RNA of Camellia sinensis, 440 nucleotides long. The record is from RefSeq and is a predicted model, not a curated record. NCBI's taxonomy places the organism in Eukaryota, Viridiplantae, Streptophyta, Magnoliopsida, Ericales, Theaceae.
CUACCAUUACCAGAACCACCGCCUCCUUCACAACCACAUCAACCACGCCCCUCUUCUGCAGCAGCGCCGUAGUCCGCAUCUGCGCCGUGUUCACCGCUCGAUGGUGCCGUUGUUUCGGUGCCAAACAGACAAUCUUCUGCAGGCUCCCUUCGAUACCGACGGUGUUUCGAUUUGGGUUUAUUCAAUUUGGGUUUAUUCAAUUUUUGUGGGUAUUUGUUGUUUUUGUGAUAGAUGCUAAGCAAGCGCAAGGGUUCCUCUCAUUCUUCAAAACCCUACCCCGUGACCCUAGGGCUGUUCGAUUCUUUGAUCGCCGGUCAUAACACUCGAAUCUGUACGAAGGUAUGAUGAGCUUUGGAUGCCAUUGAUUUCUGAUCUUACGGUUGGAUCAACAUCAACUCAUCAUCCCCCAAUGGGUCUGGUUUUGUCACACCUUCAAUCCG